Molecule: ribosomal RNA, 284 nt
Filed under: uncultured bacterium
Lineage: Bacteria
Description: partial 16S ribosomal RNA
Rfam family: Bacterial small subunit ribosomal RNA
Source: RNAcentral
GACGAACGCUGGCGGCGUGCUUAACACAUGCAAGUCGAGCGGUAAGGCCCUUUCGGGGGUACGACGAGCGGCGAACGGGUGAGUAACACGUGGGUGACCUGCCUCAGCUCUGGGAUAAGCCUGGGAAACCGGGUCGUAAUACUGGUAUACGACUCCAUGACGCAUGUUGUGGGGUGGAAAGCCUUGUGCGGCUGAGGAUGGGGCCCGCGGGCCUAUCAGCUUGUUGGUGGGGUGAUGGCCUACCAAGGCGACGACGGGUAGCCGGCCUGAGAGGGCGACCGGCC